Molecule: ribosomal RNA, 265 nt
Filed under: uncultured bacterium
Lineage: Bacteria
Description: partial 16S ribosomal RNA
Rfam family: Bacterial small subunit ribosomal RNA
Source: RNAcentral
GUCCACGCUGUAAACGAUGGGUGCUAGGUGUGGGAGGUGUCGACUCCUUCCGUGCCGAAGCUAACGCAUUAAGCACCCCGCCUGGGGAGUACGGCCGCAAGGCUAAAACUCAAAGGAAUUGACGGGGGCCCGCACAAGCAGCGGAGCAUGUGGUUUAAUUCGACGCAACCCGAAGAACCUUACCAGGGCUUGACAUGCACCGGAAUGUCGUAGAAAUACGGCAGCCCCUCACGGGGUCGGUGUGCAGGUGGUGCAUGGCUGUCGU